Molecule: ribosomal RNA, 253 nt
Filed under: uncultured bacterium
Lineage: Bacteria
Description: partial 16S ribosomal RNA
Rfam family: Bacterial small subunit ribosomal RNA
Source: RNAcentral
UACGUAGGGUGCAAGCGUUGUCCGGAAUUAUUGGGCGUAAAGAGCUCGUAGGCGGUCUGUCGCGUCUGCUGUGAAAACUCGGGGCUUAACCCCGGGCCUGCAGUGGGUACGGGCAGACUAGAGUGCGGUAGGGGAGACUGGAAUUCCUGGUGUAGCGGUGAAAUGCGCAGAUAUCAGGAGGAACACCGGUGGCGAAGGCGGGUCUCUGGGCCGUAACUGGCGCUGAGGAGCGAAAGCAUGGGGAGCGAACAGG